AAUCAUCGUAUUUUAUUUUUUUUUGUAUUUUACAAAAAAAAAAACAGGAAACAGAAAAAAAACAAACCAAACAAAUCAGUUUUCAUAUUAAGCUUCAUGCAACGAGCGUGUAGUUUUUCAAACGUACAUACAAACGCAAAGCUUUAACUCAAAAUAUAAACUCUAGUUUUCCGAGGAGAUAACAACAAACAUGACUUUUCGUUCCAUGACUCGUAUUCGUAAGUCGAUAUGUCAAUCUGACAGAAUGUCCAUUACUUAUGCAUACAAAUAUCGAUGCACAUCCGCUGCAUGAAAUCAAUUAAAAAUUUGCUAAAAGUUGUCCGUUUUGAUCCGAUAAUUAUUCACCGGUACCCCCUCCGCUCCGCCGGUCAGCGCCGCCCGCCUCCGUCGCCAAUGUGGUUUGCGCCAAUGGUGAUGUACUCCCAUGUGCCGUUCAUCUUUCUAUGUACGAACUCCGGCAAGCGUAUGAAUAUAUAUUCGAAAUAAUUAAAAUUCAUCACUAUGCUAAAUUUAUUUCACUCACUUUUGGGCAAACUUUUGAAUAAAUUACAUUAGAUAUGCUGAGACUGUUGUUUGGUGCGUUGCUCUCCUGCCCCCGAGCGCCAUCGGCCAAAGGUUGGAUCUCUUUGAAGACACUCUCGCCUCACUCAUCUCCCGUGUCAUCCGGAGGUGCCAAUGUACCAUCGGGGGAGUUUUGCGAACCGGAGGUAAAAGUUCAUUAUGCCAAAGAGAUCCGCUUCUGUUUCCAAAACGCCAUGUUUCCCCCGCUUCUCCCCCCGAGUUGUAUCGACAAACGACGAACUACGGCGGGGACGGAAAACUGUUCAACGCAUCGCAUAUUCCAGCAGAGUACGUUCAUGGAAGAAAAUCACUUUUAUUGGUGAAAAGUUGCUCUUGGGUACGUACCCCGAGGGGUUGAGAAUGUCUGCGCCACCUCAGGGGUUUCCCCUUCCGUGGUGGAACCAGAGUGGGAGCUUAUUUCGGCGACAUACCGCAUCAUCAACAAUGGUGUCAAGUUUGUAUUAGAUCAGUUGUUGUUUUUAUCAAUAAAUCUGGAAAAUGCCGAAGGGAAAGCUGCUCACGGAGAGAGAAAAAGGACAAAUCGAUGCAAUUCACCAAGAGGAAUGUUGGUAUCAAGACGGGUUUAUGGUACUAGUAGACUUCCAAGAUGGCUGAAGAGUGGUUUUAGCAAGUUGGCCCACCUUAGGAUAUACUUCUAGGCGCCUUGGUUGGUAUCAGAAAAAUUGCUCAUCGGAUUGGACGAUUCCAUCAAGUAGUUCUCAAUUAUUUGGCGAAUCCUUAAGAAUACGAUAAAAAGAAGAGAGCUCCACGUAAAUUGAAGCUCUCUA
Molecule: long non-coding RNA, 1349 nt
Organism: Toxorhynchites rutilus septentrionalis
Lineage: Eukaryota; Metazoa; Arthropoda; Insecta; Diptera; Culicidae
Exons: 3
Source: RefSeq, a predicted model, not a curated record